RNAcentral lists this non-coding RNA (753 nucleotides) under Polionemobius taprobanensis. The record is from RNAcentral. Lineage: Eukaryota; Metazoa; Arthropoda; Insecta; Orthoptera; Trigonidiidae.
UGAAUAGUUUUAUUCUAGCUGUAAAUAAUUAUUAUAGAAUGGUUUAACAUACAAAUUAAAAAGAUUUAAGAAAAAUUGUUGGUAGUUUUUAAUAUUGUCAAAUUAAGGGAGUUUAGAGAGAAAAAAUUUUAUAGUAUUGGAUAAAGGUGUGCCAGCUUCCGCGGUUAUACACUAAAUGCAAAUAAUUAAUAUAAGUAGAAGUUAAUAGACAAGAUAAUAUGAAUUAAAGAAUUAUUGAUGAAAUGAUAUAUUGUUUAAUAAAAUUAAAUUAGUUUAUGAGGCUUAGUAAUUUAAAAUGGAAACUAGGAUUAGAUACCCUAUUAUUUUAAGAGAAUGUUAUAUAGACUUAGGUAGUUAUAGUUAUGGGCUUAAAACCUAAAGAAUUUGGCGGUGUUUUAGUCCGUUCAGAGGAAUCUGUCCUGUAAUUGAAAGUACACGAGGAGAAUUACUUAAUUUAAUCAGUUUGUAUACCGCCGUUGUAAGAAUAUUUUAGGAGGGUAAAAAAUUUUCGGAAUAGAGUAUUAUCUAAUAUAUCAGGUCAAGGUGCAGCUUAUAGUUAAGAAGAGAUGGAUUACAAUAAUUGAAAUUAUAACGGAAUGUUGAAAUAGAAAAUUAUGAAGGUGGAUUUGAAAGUAAAUAUUAUUCUUAUGGUAUUGAUUUUGGCACUGAAACAUGCACACAUCGCCCGUCGCUCUCAUUUAAGGUGAGAUAAGUCGUAACAAAGUAGGUGUAUUGGAAAAUGUACCUGGAAUG